Molecule: ribosomal RNA, 515 nt
Filed under: uncultured bacterium
Lineage: Bacteria
Description: partial 16S ribosomal RNA
Rfam family: Bacterial small subunit ribosomal RNA
Source: RNAcentral
GAUGAACGCUGGCGGCGUGCCUAAUACAUGCAAGUCGAGCGAAUGGAUUAAGAGCUUGCUCUUAUGAAGUUAGCGGCGGACGGGUGAGUAACACGUGGGUAACCUGCCCAUAAGACUGGGAUAACUCCGGGAAACCGGGGCUAAUACCGGAUAACAUUUUGAACCGCAUGGUUCGAAAUUGAAAGGCGGCUUCGGCUGUCACUUAUGGAUGGACCCGCGUCGCAUUAGCUAGUUGGUGAGGUAACGGCUCGCCAAGGCGACGAUGCGUAGCCGACCUGGGAGGGUGAUCGGCCACACUGGGACUGAGACAUGGCCCAGACUCCUACGGGAGGCAGCAGUAGGGAAUCUUCCGCAAUGGACGAAAGUCUGACGGAGCAACGCCGCGUGAGUGAUGAAGGCUUUCGGGUCGUAAAACUCUGUUGUUAGGGAAGAACAAGUGCUAGUUGAAUAAGCUGGCACCUUGACGGUACCUAACCAGAAAGCCACGGCUAACUACGUGCCAGCAGCCGCCGUAA